This 225-nucleotide ribosomal RNA is filed under the name Triticum aestivum (bread wheat). RNAcentral describes it as "partial small subunit ribosomal RNA". The record is from RNAcentral. Lineage: Eukaryota; Viridiplantae; Streptophyta; Magnoliopsida; Poales; Poaceae.
AUGACGAUACUUUGUUGGAACUGCCGGGGCUUGGGCCGACCCCGGAAAGUUCAAGAAUUGGUGAGGCUUGUGCAUGCUCAGCGUCCAAAUUUUUUGUUUCUUUCUGUAACUCGUCAAAAUAAAAGGUUUGUAGAAGGUCUUAGAUGGAGGCUAGGCCUCCGCAAUGUAGUUUCCUAUAUAGAAGAAGGUAAAGGGGGUGGCCUAGCUUUGUUCUGGGAUGAGAGU